AACGAACGCUGGCGGCAGGCCUAACACAUGCAAGUCGAACGCUGCAGCAAUGCAGAGUGGCAGACGGGUGAGUAACGCGUGGGAACCUUCCCAGUGGUACGGAAUAGCCCAGGGAAACUUGGGGUAAUACCGUAUACGCCCCUAGGGGGAAAGAUUUAUCGCCAUUGGAUGGGCCCGCGUCGGAUUAGCUAGUUGGUGAGGUAACGGCUCACCAAGGCGACGAUCCGUAGCUGGUCUGAGAGGAUGAUCAGCCACACCUGGGACUGAGACAACGGCCCAGACUCCUACGGGAGGCAG
RNAcentral lists this ribosomal RNA (297 nucleotides) under uncultured Pseudomonadota bacterium. RNAcentral's name for it is "uncultured proteobacterium partial 16S ribosomal RNA". It matches the Rfam family "Bacterial small subunit ribosomal RNA", at positions 29 to 351 of the family's 1533-position model. Lineage: Bacteria; Pseudomonadati; Pseudomonadota. The record is from RNAcentral.